RNAcentral lists this small nuclear RNA (104 nucleotides) under Carlito syrichta (Philippine tarsier). The record is from RNAcentral. Lineage: Eukaryota; Metazoa; Chordata; Mammalia; Primates; Tarsiidae.
GUGCUCGCUUUGGCAGCACGUAUACUAAAAUUAGAACGAUAACGAGAUUAGCACGACCCCUGUGCAAGGAUGACACCUAUAUUUAAAAAUGAAUGAAUGAAUGA